GGAGGUAUUGUCUAAUGGUAGGACGUCACCCUUACACGGUGAAGGCCUGGGUUCGAUUCCCUGUACCUCCA
Molecule: transfer RNA, 71 nt
Filed under: Microcaldota archaeon
Lineage: Archaea; Nanobdellati; Microcaldota
Description: tRNA-Val
Rfam family: tRNA
About the family: Transfer RNA (tRNA) molecules are approximately 80 nucleotides in length. Their secondary structure includes four short double-helical elements and three loops (D, anti-codon, and T loops).
Source: RNAcentral